Molecule: transfer RNA, 102 nt
Filed under: Hypsizygus marmoreus
Lineage: Eukaryota; Fungi; Basidiomycota; Agaricomycetes; Agaricales; Lyophyllaceae
Rfam family: tRNA
About the family: Transfer RNA (tRNA) molecules are approximately 80 nucleotides in length. Their secondary structure includes four short double-helical elements and three loops (D, anti-codon, and T loops).
Source: Rfam by way of RNAcentral
GCCUUCUUGGCUCAGUUGGCUAGAGCGCAGGUCUCAUAGAAAUAUGACGCAUCCUUGGAUGUGGUAAUCCUGAGGUCGCAAGUUCGAGCCUUGCAGAGGGCA